Molecule: ribosomal RNA, 333 nt
Filed under: uncultured bacterium
Lineage: Bacteria
Description: bacterial SSU rRNA
Rfam family: Bacterial small subunit ribosomal RNA
Source: RNAcentral
CGCGUAGGCGGGAUGGCAAGUCGGUCGUAGAAAUCCUUCGGCUCAACCGAAGAACGUCGAUCGAUACUGCUGUUCUUGAGGGUUGCAGAGGAGACUGGAAUUCCCGGUGUAGCGGUGAAAUGUGUAGAGAUCGGGAGGAACACCGGUGGCGAAGGCGGGUCUCUGGGCAAUCCCUGACGCUGAGGCGCGAAAGCGUGGGGAGCAAACGGGAUUACGAUACCCCGGUAGUCCACGCUGUAAACGAUGACGACUAGGUGUGGGGGGUUCAGUCCCCUCCGUGCCGCAGCUAACGCAUUAAGUCGUCCGCCUGGGGAGUACGGCCGCAAGGUUGAA